AGUGAACGCUGGCGGUAGGCCUAACACAUACAAGUCGAACGGCAGCACAGGAGAGCUUGCUCUCUGGGUGGCGAGUGGCAGACGGGUGAGGAAUACAUCGGAAUCUACUUUUUCGUGGGGGAUAACGUAGGGAAACUUACGCUAAUACCGCAUACGACCUACGGGUGAAAGCAGGGGACCUUCGGGCCUUGCGCGAUUGAAUGAGCCGAUGUCGGAUUAGCUAGUUGGCGGGGUAAAGGCCCACCAAGGCGACGAUCCGUAGCUGGUCUGAGGGGAUUAUCAGCCACACUGGAACUGAGACACGGUCCAGACUCCUACGGGAGGCAGCAGUGGGGAAUAUUGGACAAUGGGCGCAAGCCUGAGCCAGCCAUACCGCGUGGGUGAAGAAGGCCUUCGGGUUGUAAAGCCCUUUUGUUGGGAAAGAAAUCCAGCUGGCUAAUACCCGGUUGGGAUGACGGUACCCAAAGAAUAAGCACCGGCUAACUUCGUGCCAGCCGCCGCCGUAA
Molecule: ribosomal RNA, 506 nt
Filed under: uncultured bacterium
Lineage: Bacteria
Description: partial 16S ribosomal RNA
Rfam family: Bacterial small subunit ribosomal RNA
Source: RNAcentral